GUCCCUAUCGUCUAGCCCGGUCAGGACACAUGGUUUUCAUCCAUGCAACCGGGGUUCAAAUCCCCGUGGGGACGCCA
Molecule: transfer RNA, 77 nt
Filed under: Opitutaceae bacterium
Lineage: Bacteria; Pseudomonadati; Verrucomicrobiota; Opitutia; Opitutales; Opitutaceae
Description: tRNA-Glu
Rfam family: tRNA
About the family: Transfer RNA (tRNA) molecules are approximately 80 nucleotides in length.
Source: RNAcentral